RNAcentral lists this ribosomal RNA (1390 nucleotides) under uncultured bacterium. RNAcentral describes it as "bacterial SSU rRNA". It matches the Rfam family "Bacterial small subunit ribosomal RNA". The record is from RNAcentral.
AGAGUUUGAUUCUGGCUCAGGAUGAACGCUGGCGGCGUGCCUAACACAUGCAAGUCGAGCGAAACUAUUUUUCGGAAGUUUUCGGAUGGAAUUAUUAUUGACUGAGCGGCGGACGGGUGAGUAACGCGUGGGUAACCUGCCUCAUACAGGGGGAUAACAGUUAGAAAUGACUGCUAAUACCGCAUAAGCGCACAGCGUCGCAUGAUGCAGUGUGAAAAACUCCGGUGGUAUGAGAUGGACCCGCGUCUGAUUAGCUGGUUGGUGAGGUAAAGGCCCACCAAGGCGACGAUCAGUAGCCGACCUGAGAGGGUGAUCGGCCACAUUGGGACUGAGACACGGCCCAAACUCCUACGGGAGGCAGCAGUGGGGAAUAUUGCACAAUGGGGGAAACCCUGAUGCAGCAACGCCGCGUGAGUGAAGAAGUAUUUCGGUAUGUAAAGUUCUAUCAGCAGGGAAGAAAAUGACGGUACCUGACUAAGAAGCCCCGGCUAACUACGUGCCAGCAGCCGCGGUAAUACGUAGGGGGCAAGCGUUAUCCGGAUUUACUGGGUGUAAAGGGAGCGUAGACGGAGAAGCAAGUCUGAAGUGAAAGCCCGGGGCUUAACCCCGGGACUGCUUUGGAAACUGUUUGUCUAGAGUGCUGGAGAGGUAAGUGGAAUUCCUAGUGUAGCGGUGAAAUGCGUAGAUAUUAGGAGGAACACCAGUGGCGAAGGCGGCUUACUGGACAGUAACUGACGUUGAGGCUCGAAAGCGUGGGGAGCAAACAGAAUUAGAUACCCUGGUAGUCCACGCGGUAAACGAUGAAUGGCUAGGUGUUGGGAAGCAAAGAUCUUCGGUGCCGUGGCAAACCCAAUAACCAUUCCACUUGGGGAGUACGUUGGCAGGAAUGAAAUUCAAAGGAAUGGAGGGGGACCCGCCCAAGCGGUGGAGCAUGUGGUUUAAUUGGAAGCAACGGGAGGACCCUUCCCAAGUCUUGACAUCUUUUUGCCCGGCGUGUACCGGUCCUUUCUUUUGGGAGCGGGAGUGCCAGGUGGUGCAUGGUGGUGUUCAGUUGGUGUGGUGAGAUGUUGGGUUAAUUCCCGCAAGGAGCGCACCCCUUUUCCCUAGUACCCAGCAGUAAGCUGGGCACUCUAGGGAGACUGCCAGGGAUAACCUGGAGGAAGGUGGGGAUGACGUCAAAUCAUCAUGCCCCUUAUGAUUUGGGCUACACACGUGCUACAAUGGCGUAAACAAAGGGAAGCGAACCCGCGAGGGGAAGCAAAUCCCAAAAAUAACGUCCCAGUUCGGAUUGUAGUCUGCAACUCGCCUGCAUGAAGCUGGAAUCGCUAGUAAUCGCGAAUCAGAAUGUCGCGGUGAAUACGUUCCCGGGUCUUGCACUCACCGCCCGUCA